AGUGAACGCUGGCGGUAGGCCUAACACAUGCAAGUCGAACGGCAGCACAGUAAGAGCUUGCUCUUACGGGUGGCGAGUGGCGGACGGGUGAGGAAUACAUCGGAAUCUACUUUUUCGUGGGGGAUAACGUAGGGAAACUUACGCUAAUACCGCAUACGACCUACGGGUGAAAGCAGGGGAUCUUCGGACCUUGCGCGAUUGAAUGAGCCGAUGUCGGAUUAGCUAGUUGGCGGGGUAAAGGCCCACCAAGGCGACGAUCCGUAGCUGGUCUGAGAGGAUGAUCAGCCACACUGGAACUGAGACACGGUCCAGACUCCUACGGGAGGCAGCAGUGGGGAAUAUUGGACAAUGGGCGCAAGCCUGAUCCAGCCAUACCGCGUGGGUGAAGAAGGCCUUCGGGUUGUAAAGCCCUUUUGCUGGGAAAGAAAAGCAGCAGGUUAAUACCCCGCUGUUCUGACGGUACCCAAAGAAUAAGCACCGGCUAACUUCUUG
Molecule: ribosomal RNA, 492 nt
Filed under: uncultured bacterium
Lineage: Bacteria
Description: partial 16S ribosomal RNA
Rfam family: Bacterial small subunit ribosomal RNA
Source: RNAcentral